RNAcentral lists this ribosomal RNA (141 nucleotides) under uncultured bacterium. Its description in RNAcentral is "partial 16S ribosomal RNA". It matches the Rfam family "Bacterial small subunit ribosomal RNA", at positions 349 to 507 of the family's 1533-position model. The record is from RNAcentral.
CAGCAGUGGGGAAUUUUGGACAAUGGGGGCAACCCUGAUCCAGCCAUGCCGCGUGAAUGAUGAAGGCCUUCGGGUUGUAAAGUUCUUUUGGCGGGGACAAUAAUGACGGUACCCGCAGAAUAAGCUCCGGCUAACUUCGUG